This is a non-coding RNA of Podarcis lilfordi (Lilford's wall lizard), 73 nucleotides long. NCBI's taxonomy places the organism in Eukaryota, Metazoa, Chordata, Lepidosauria, Squamata, Lacertidae. The record is from the annotation of a GenBank genome assembly.
GCUGGAAUAGCUUAAUCGAUAGAGCAUGAGACUCUCAAUCUCAAGGUCAUGGGUUUGAGCCCCAAGUUGGGCA